UACGUAGGUGGCGAGCGUUGUCCGGAUUUACUGGGCGUAAAGAGCGCGCAGGCGGUCGUACAAGUCGCGUGUGAAAGCCCCCGGCUCAACUGGGGAGGGUCACGCGAUACUGUUCGACUCGAAGGCAGGAGAGGGAAGUGGAAUUCCCGGUGUAGUGGUGAAAUGCGUAGAUAUCGGGAGGAACACCAGUGGCGAAGGCGACUUCCUGGCCUGUUCUUGACGCUGAGGCGCGAAAGCGUGGGGAGCAAACAGG
RNAcentral lists this ribosomal RNA (253 nucleotides) under uncultured bacterium. Its description in RNAcentral is "partial 16S ribosomal RNA". It matches the Rfam family "Bacterial small subunit ribosomal RNA", at positions 524 to 776 of the family's 1533-position model. RNAcentral also lists the same sequence under 1 other name. The record is from RNAcentral.